Molecule: long non-coding RNA, 642 nt
Filed under: Salvia miltiorrhiza (redroot sage)
Lineage: Eukaryota; Viridiplantae; Streptophyta; Magnoliopsida; Lamiales; Lamiaceae
Description: long non-coding RNA (SMIL_LNC000109)
Source: RNAcentral
GGAACGCACAACAUGAUAUAAGAUGCACAGAUAUUGAAGUGAUUGACACAUGAUGAUAAAUAAAUAUUGAUCCACUUAAUCAUAUAUACUUAUAUGUGAGAUCGCUGGACAUUUUUAUUCAAUAUUACAAAGAAAGAUUCAAAUCUCACGAAAUCAUUAAAACAAUAUAGAUGUAUGCAUAGGGAAGUAACCAACUCAUAACACACAAAAUAAAAAAAUCAAAUGAGUCGAGAAUCUCAAAAAAAAAACAAUCUUCAUUAAUUUGGUGAAACCAUGUAGCCAUAGAAGCAGUGGCAAUCAUAUAUAUAUAUUUUAAAUAGUAAAAAUUUGUUCGCACAGAGCAUUUAUUAAGGCGAUUAAAAAAAUCACUAAUAUAACGAAACAAUAUUGUUUUUAAAGCCAUAAUUAAUUGUGUGAACAAUUAAAUUCAAAAGUUGAACAAUCAAAUAUUCAUUCGAAUAUUGUAUCAAUCGAAUCCAACAAUUUCAGAAAUAAAAGAACAUAAAUUUAUUAAAAUAUCGAAUAGUACCUCCAUGAAAAGACACGAUUCUUUUCUAGGGCAUACCUCCAAUCUUUCUACGAUCGAUCGGAGAACUAGAACUAUCGUGCUGAUAACGUGUUAUAAACUAGAGAGAAGCGAGA